RNAcentral lists this long non-coding RNA (644 nucleotides) under Mus musculus (house mouse). RNAcentral describes it as "predicted gene, 48286". The record is from RNAcentral. Lineage: Eukaryota; Metazoa; Chordata; Mammalia; Rodentia; Muridae.
CUGUCUCCAGAGUGCUGGGAUUAAAGGGGUUAAUGCCAUAUUGAGUUAAAGCAUUUCCUCAAAAGAGCUACUAUAUGCUUCCACACACUAAAAGAAUGCAUCCUUACAUUGCUGAUUUACCAGUACUGCUUUCCCCUUCUCAGGUUAGUUUUCUUAGUAGUUUGAACCCAGAAGCUGAGUAAUGGGUUGAGAUUCUGAUCAGCUCCUUUGCCCUUUCAGCCACUUGGUCAGGUAUUUUCUCUGGUCUAUCUGGUAUCUUAAUAAGUCACCAUAAAACAUCAAAGAAAUCAUUUCGUUUUUUUGAGAAAAGUUUAAAGAAAAUAAGAAAACCAAGUAGACCUAUAUAAUAGUGACUUAAUAGCUUGAGAUUUACCUUAUAUUCCUUUUAAAAUGUUUAUUUUUAAUUGAUGCGUUGUAGCUUUAAGAAUUAGUAGAAAUAGAAAGUUCUAUUGAAAUCUAAACAAAGGAGCAAUCAUAGUAAAAUUUUAGUAACAGCUCCCUCCCCCUGAAAAUCAUUGUUUUGUUUGGGUUUUGGGGUUUUUUGUUUGUUUGUUUGGGUUUUUUGUUUUGUUUUAUUUUGUUUUGGUUUUUAAAACAAGAGCUACACAGAGAAACCCUGUCUUGAAAAACCAAAAACAAAAACC